AUAGCAUAUGUAAUGUGUUUCGUUUACAUCGAAAAGAAUUCUUUAAAUUGUAAAGUUACUUUUA
Molecule: transfer RNA, 64 nt
Filed under: Cipangopaludina lecythis ampullacea
Lineage: Eukaryota; Metazoa; Mollusca; Gastropoda; Architaenioglossa; Viviparidae
Description: tRNA-Val
Source: RNAcentral